This 253-nucleotide ribosomal RNA is filed under the name uncultured bacterium. RNAcentral's name for it is "partial 16S ribosomal RNA". It matches the Rfam family "Bacterial small subunit ribosomal RNA", at positions 524 to 776 of the family's 1533-position model. The record is from RNAcentral.
UACGUAGGGUGCGAGCGUUAAUCGGAAUUACUGGGCGUAAAGCGUGCGCAGGCGGUUGGGCAAGACAGAUGUGAAAUGCCCGGGCUUAACCUGGGAACUGCAUUUGUGACUGCAUGGCUAGAGUUUGGCAGAGGGGGGUAGAAUUCCACGUGUAGCAGUGAAAUGCGUAGAUAUGUGGAGGAACACCGAUGGCGAAGGCAGCCCCCUGGGUCAAGACUGACGCUCAUGCACGAAAGCGUGGGGAGCAAACAGG